This 24-nucleotide non-coding RNA is filed under the name Rattus norvegicus (Norway rat). The record is from RNAcentral. Lineage: Eukaryota; Metazoa; Chordata; Mammalia; Rodentia; Muridae.
GGGAGAGAUUUGAGGACUGUGCCA